UGAGGAAUCUUGCGCAAUGGGGGCAACCCUGACGCAGCAACGCCGCGUGAGUGAAGAAGGCCUUCGGGUCGUAAAGCUCUGUCAAGUGGGAAGAAUGUCCUUAAGCUGAAUAAGCUUAGGGUGUGACGGUACCACUGGAGGAAGCACCGGCUAACUCCGUGCCAGCAGCCGCGGUAAUACGGAGGGUGCAAGCGUUAUUCGGAAUUACUGGGCGUAAAGCGCGUGUAGGCGGUCCUGCAAGUCUGAUGUGAAAGCCCCGGGCUUAACCCGGGAAGUGCAUUGGAAACAGUGGGACUUUAGUACUGGAGAGGUGAGCGGAAUUCCCGGUGUAGUGGUAAAAUACGUAGAUAUCGGGAGGAAUACCAGCGGCGCAGGCGGCUCACUAGACAGUUUCUGACGCUAAGAUACGAAAGCGUGGGGAGCAAACA
Molecule: ribosomal RNA, 428 nt
Filed under: uncultured prokaryote
Description: bacterial SSU rRNA
Rfam family: Bacterial small subunit ribosomal RNA
Source: RNAcentral